Molecule: ribosomal RNA, 253 nt
Filed under: uncultured bacterium
Lineage: Bacteria
Description: partial 16S ribosomal RNA
Rfam family: Bacterial small subunit ribosomal RNA
Source: RNAcentral
UACGUAGGGUGCAAGCGUUGUCCGGAAUUAUUGGGCGUAAAGAGCGUGUAGGCGGCCCGAUUAGUCCGCUGUGAAAGUCCAGGGCUCAACCCUGGAAUGCCGGUGGAUACUGUCGGGCUAGAGUCCGGAAGGGGCGAGUGGAAUUCCUGGUGUAGCGGUGAAAUGCGCAGAUAUCAGGAGGAACACCAAUGGCGAAGGCAGCUCGCUGGGACGUGACUGACGCUGAGACACGAAGGUCAGGAGAGCAAACGGG